This 106-nucleotide small nuclear RNA is filed under the name Propithecus coquereli (Coquerel's sifaka). The record is from RNAcentral. Lineage: Eukaryota; Metazoa; Chordata; Mammalia; Primates; Indriidae.
GAGCUUUCACUUUGGCAGCACAUACGCUUAAAUUGAAAUGAUACAAAGAUUAGCAUGGCCCCUACAUAAGGAUGGCAUGCAAAUUCAUGAAGCAUUCUGUAUUUUU